This is a non-coding RNA of Ciona savignyi (Pacific transparent sea squirt), 1148 nucleotides long. NCBI's taxonomy places the organism in Eukaryota, Metazoa, Chordata, Ascidiacea, Phlebobranchia, Cionidae. The record is from Rfam.
UACCUGGUUGAUCCUGCCAGUAGUCAUAUGCUUGUCUCAAAGAUUAAGCCAUGCAAGUCUAAGUACGAGCUCUCGUACAGUGAAACUGCGAAUGGCUCAUUAAAUCAGUUAUGGUUCAUUUGAUCGUACAGUUUACUUGGAUAACUGUGGUAAUUCUAGAGCUAAUACAUGCGAGAAGCGCCGACCUCGCGGGAGGCGUGCAUUUAUCAGACCAAAAACCGGCCGCGUCUUCGGGCGCGUUCGCCUUGGUGACUCUGGAUAACUUUGCGGAUCGCACGGUCUAGCACCGGCGACGGAUCAUUCAAGUGUCUGCCCUAUCAACUUUCGUCGGUACGGUAUUUGCCUACCGAGGUUCUUACGGGUGACGGGGAAUCAGGGUUCGAUUCCGGAGAGGGAGCCUGAGAAACGGCUACCACAUCCAAGGAAGGCAGCAGGCGCGCAAAUUACCCAUUCCCGACGCGGGGAGGUAGUGACGAAAAAUAACAAUGCAGGACUCGUUCGAGGCCCUGUAAUUGGAAUGAGUACACUUUAAAAGCUUUAACGAGUAUCCAUUGGAGGGCAAGUCUGGUGCCAGCAGCCGCGGAUUCAGCUCCAAAGUAUAUAUUUAAGUUGUUGCGGUUAAAAAGCUCGUAGUUGGAUUUUGGGCGCAGGCGGCCGGUCCCGUCGCAAGGCGUGUACUGGACGUCCUGGCCCUUCCCUCCGGUUCUCCGCCGGUGCUCUUGACUGAGUGUCGGCGGCGGCCGGAACGUUUACUUUGAAAAAAUUAGAGUGUUCAAAGCAGGCUCUCGAGCCUGGAUAAUGGUGCAUGGAAUAAUGGAAUAGGACCUCGGUUCUAUUUUGUUGGUUUUCGGAGCGCGAGGUAAUGAUUAAGAGGGACAGACGGGUAAGUCGUCGUGGUGGGUGAUAAACCAUGACGCGAAGCCGGGGAAGUCCCCCCGGCGCAGGGCCACCAGUAUGGAGACGACGAACGGAAAGUACAACCGGUCAAGAAAUAAAGCUGUUGCCAAACAGAAGGUAUGGAUUGUCAUGGAUUUGAUAUCUUUUAGAUUUUUUUAGUAAAAAUUUAUGAAUAUUGUUUUGGUAAAAUUUUUAAAUUUCAUUUUUCAUCAUUUUUGGAUAAAAUUUUUUAAUUUUGUUUUGGUUCAAAU